UGUGUAGGUGGCGUGUUAAGUCAGUGGUGAAAGCCUGCAGCUCAACUGUAGAGGUGCCAUUGAUACUGACAUGCUUGAGUAUGGACGAGGUAAGCGGAAUUUGUGGUGUAGCGGUGAAAUGCAUAGAUACCACAAGGAACACCGAUAGCGAAGGCAGCUUACUGGACCAUAACUGACACUGAGGCACGAAAGCGUGGGGAGCGAACAGGAUUAGAUACCCUGGUAGUCC
RNAcentral lists this ribosomal RNA (229 nucleotides) under uncultured bacterium. RNAcentral's name for it is "partial 16S ribosomal RNA". It matches the Rfam family "Bacterial small subunit ribosomal RNA", at positions 568 to 796 of the family's 1533-position model. The record is from RNAcentral.